GCAGCGGCCGCCCCUGCCCCGGCACCGCCCUGCCCCGCGCCUCCUCUCGGUGCUGCACAACGGGGACGGGCGCAGCUCUCUCCUGCCCUCUUCCCUUUGCUCUCCCUCUCCUUUCUGUCGCCCCCUUCACCUGCUGUCCCGGAGCCUGCAGCGCGACCCGCCGCGGGCAUCGCCGGCGCGAAGCCUACGGUCAGUCCUGCCUGGCAGGAAGGGACAUGUGCCCCCCGGCCCGGGUUGCUUGUUAACAGAAGUACUGAAAAAUGAGGUGAAUUUAGUUCAUCUGUAGAAGCUCGUGGUGGAGACCUGUCGCUCUAGCUUGGGGCAGCACAGAAGGAGCCAUCAGGUGUGUGUGACAACAGCUGCGUGCAUAUACUGUAUAUUGCGGACUAAACAGUCCCUGACAAACAGCCCACAAGUCGGGGAACAGAGCCCAGACCCAGAGCUCUGUUCGGGGUCGCCGUAGCGAGUUUGAAAUGGCUUGGACAGCACGGGAAAUGCCGAGGGUCGCUGCCGGGUCCCUUGGAGCGAGAGCCCGGGGUAGAAGCAGGAGCCCUGGCCCCUACCCCUGACAAGUGCGGAUCUGGUGGUUGAGCCAUUCGUCUGCCUUGGCAGGGCACGGAUCCAGGCUUAGAAAGGAUGCAUCUGCUUCUCAGGGCCCUAUCCGCAUGGCCAAAGUCUUCUUUAUACCCUUUCAAACUGUGUUGGUAUAGUUUCCCUCAGCUUUUUCUUUCAAAGUUUCCAGUGAGGAAGUUCCUAUGUCAUGAAUUUAAGCAUGCUCUGAAAGUAAAUUUGCUUUUGCUAGCUCUUUUUUCAGGCUCAUCUGUCUAUGGGUUGAGAAGCACCAUCCUCUUAACAAUAAAAAGAUGGGUACUAUAGCUUCUUUAAAAAUCGCUUCGUUGUCAUGUAGUCAGCACUUUUAAUCUGUGCUGUGGUCUAGAUUGAGACUCCACAGACAAAAUGUGCAUGCUGGAAGCAUUGAUGCUGAUGAUUCCUUCAGGUUUCUGGGAGUUAGGAGGUUUUAUGGGGUGCUAUUCAGCUAGAGAACACAAGAAGUGCUGUGAGAGGGCAUAUUGAAUAUCCAACCCAAUGGACCAGGCAAGAAUUGAAGAGUAAAGCAAGUGCAUGGUAAUACUUCCCUGGUUCACCUUCCCAGCCUCAAGUGUGCUGCAACUCAGGAAUUUCUGAAGUCAGCUGUGUUGAUAAAUGUGGGUGCCUGUGCUUUGUCAGUUUAAAGAACAUGUGGCAUUUAGUGUCCUAUUUGGGAAAUGUGAAACAGCACUGUAGCUGUUACGUGAACUGUGCAGCAAAUACAAAGUCACUGCAGAGACAUGUCAUCAGCUAAUGAGCUGGGACUAACAGCAGCUGGGGAAACAGAGAGGCUGCAGUUUGUCUUUCUUCUAGCAAGGAGGAUAAAAGAAACAGGGAAAAAGGUUCAUAUGAAACCAGGAAAUAAGAGGCAGGUAGCACCUACCAGGUACUCAGUAGUCAUCUCUUGUUCUUCUAUUGUAAGGCUCCAGGAGCACCAGAAUUAUAUAAAAAAAGAAAGAAACUCUUGGAGAAGAGCUUUUUCAAGAGGAAAGGAAUAUACUGGAGAUCCAACCAAAGUGGCAACCGAUGAUGUGGUUCUAUCACAAUUACUUUAAAUUAUUUCGGACCAAGCUCAAAUUUAGAACCCACAGGUUCUAAAUUCUUGGGUUUUCCCUGUUUUGGUAUUAGUGUUUGUAAAGGAUGGAGUUGUCUAAAAAUUUAUGAGGGGAAAAAGAAGUUUUCCUUGAUAGGCAGAUGUCCUGAAAACACUGUUCUUGCUUUAGUUAGUCAUGUGUCCCCAAGAGCACUACCAUUGUCCACUACAAUGUGGUAACAAGGAUGUGUGGCUAAGACUGUGGAACUGUUUCUUUCAGUGGAAGUUCAUGCCUAGACUGGAAAGAUCAAAAUGGUGUAACAUCUUUCACUAUAUUUUGAUCACCUUAUUUGUUUCUCUGAGGUCAUAUCAAUAGAGCUUCCAUCAAUCUGAGGGCUCAAAAGUUCAGGAAUGCAAUCUUAUCACUUUUGUAUGAAACAAGAGUGGAACACAUUGGCAUUUUGUGGCUCCUUUCUGGCAAAAAGACAAGCUGAAAGUCAAACAUAUUUUCUUUAAAAGCUCAGUAUCACCUAUAUUUUCUUAUAUUACACUGAUUGAUAUGUGACCAAGAAGAGACGUUGCAUGGAAACUAACACAGGCAAGUAGGGAUCUUGUAUCUAAUGAAGAUUCCUAAAGUUCUGAAUUUUAGUGUCCUGCAGAUUCUUACUAAACUGGUUUAAAUCACUAAACUCCUGUCCAAAUCAUAAAGAGUGCCUGGACAAAAAUAGGGAUGUUUAUAUGUUAAGUAACUUCGCUUCUUUUUAUUGGUAAUAAUCUCUUCCUUGUACUUGAAUGUUUUUUUUUACAGUAAAUUUGGUGUCUAAUUAAGGCUGUGACUGUUUUGGUAGAGACAGCACAUUGCAGUUUCCCAAAUUCUAAUAAGAUUUUUUUUGACUGAAUAAUAAGUGACAUUUUUUAAAGGAAAUACUUCUAAUAGAUUUUUAUGCAGCAUUUUUUGUGUGACUUCUGGGUCUUGUUUACAGUGUCUUUAAUGCCCUUCCCUAUACAUUUACUUUUUCAUUGAUUUGACAAUUUUCUAUUCAAAUACUUAUGCUAGUUUAUUAAAUAUUGUGGUUAUAAGCUCUGUGAAAUCGUCAGCUCACUCUGUUAAUUGCUGUGUAAUGGUGUGCAAUCAUUUUCUCCUGCUGUUAUGUUGCUGGGUAGGCCUGUCCCAGGUUAGACUAUAAUUGUCCACCUCACAGUGGAAAUGCAUUAAACUUGCAGCUCCUAUUACUGCAUUCUGUACCUAUCUUAAGGUGACACUUUAAACAUUAAGCACAUUUCCAACGAUGGAAGUGUAAACCCCUUUCUUUUUGCUGGGCGAUAUUAGAAUUUCAGUUUCUUGCUGCAGUCCUCCAUUACCUGUAGGUAUGCUCUUCAAAACUCCAGCUUAGAUUAUGCUUUUCCCCCAUCAGCAUGGUCUUCAAAACUAACCAUUUUUUAAGGUAAUUAAAGUAUGAGAGAGUCCAUCAGCAAGAUGAAAUUUCUUCUAUAUAGAGUAAAAAGAGUAUCAACUUCUUCCUUCAGAAAGAUGUGAAAACUUAAUUUCUUCAACUCUGCUUUUAGUUAUCUCCAUUCCAACACACUCAUAGGUAGCUAAACAAAGAAAUUAGAAAUCACAUCACUCUAGAGACAGAUGUGCUUUUAACUUUGAGAAUAAUGUGAAAGGUUUGAUUUUUGACUUUGAUUUUUGAGCAUGCCAAAUAAAAAGGUAUCUCUUCAUGAUGAACAGAGCUUAUGGGUAAUCUGCUAUUAAGAAUUACUGUUGUAAGAACUCAUUUCUGUCUUGCCAUUACAGCAAGUAGUUUUCAGUACAGUGUGGACAGCUCUCAGUUCAUGUUCAUCAGUAAGCCUUUAUUGCAGUAAGAAUAUAUCUCUUCAUCGCUUUAUGCUCUGAGGCAUUUCUCUUCAUUUCUUGUAAAUGAGCAAAUAAACCAUCUAACUCCCUUCUCUUAAUAUCCAUAAUCUGAGGGGCUUUUAUUUCUGGCUUCCUAAACAGCAGACACAGUAGGCUUUCUGUGCCUGAUUUCUGUGGGUGGCCAGGAACGUGACAGAUAGACAACUUUUAAAUUGAACUGCAAUAUAGUAAAUAGCCAAGAUUGGGGUAAUGGGAUUUCCCAGCUACUGCCAUAAAUUAAAACAGAUUUGCAGCAAUAGGUUUUGCUAUCCUAAAGAUUAUAGACAAUUGAAUUUUUUCACAUUUUGUUAUGCUUUGAUAAUAAAAUGAAAAUGUACUGCAAAGUAAACUCUAAAAAGCACAAUUGGUGGCAUUUUCCAUAUUUCUUACCUCUUUAUCUUCUGUUAAGUACUUCCAGACUAUUAAAGAGUUGGUGGUUUUUUUCUUGUUGGUUUGGUUUUUGUUUUUUUUUAAUAUCUGUGUCCAUUUCUAGUCCUUAUGCUGAUCUGAUAAAUUUGUAAAUAAACACUAGACAUGACAUAUCUGCAUUCUCUAUGCAUAGCAUAACAGACAGUGUCAUGAUCAAAUGUUUCCUGCUCUCAGUGGUUUUUAAGUUAUUAAAUUUCUCAAAUGUUAUUAGUUCUUUCAUAUACUUUCCCUAGUAGCAGUGAUUAACUAACAUAUAAAUACCAGAGCAAAAUCACUGCAAAAUGACCUAUGAUCCCAUCAUCCUGUUUUCCACUCUACAGAUUUUCUGUUCUGUCUCCAUGGGAUGUUAUUUGAAUGCAUUUCUGAAGUGUAUUAAACAGUAAGACUGA
Molecule: non-coding RNA, 4336 nt
Organism: Cyanistes caeruleus (blue tit)
Lineage: Eukaryota; Metazoa; Chordata; Aves; Passeriformes; Paridae
Source: RefSeq, a predicted model, not a curated record